UCCUGGACGGUUGGGUUGAUGCACCUGUGUGGCUGGGUCAGUGUGCCUGUACGCUUGGGUUGAUGCACCUGUGUGGCUGGGUCAGUGUGCCUGUACGGUUGGGUUGAUGCACCUGUGUGGCUGGAUCCGUCAAACGUAAUCUAUGCAGAAAUGCCUGAGUAUGCAGAGAAAAGUGGAACAACUGUUGUGAGGGGUGAAUUUACCUCCCUUGCGUCAGUGAAGAUGCCCAAGGAAAACGCUUUGAAAAUGUCACCAGCGUUCAGGUUCUCGUGGCAGGUUCGCCCAGACGUGAGCACAGCAAAAGGCCAAAGGUUGGGUUGCUGCGUUGGGUGUUUUUUUUUUUUUUUUCCUCC
This 353-nucleotide long non-coding RNA is filed under the name Struthio camelus australis. RNAcentral describes it as "lncRNA (ENSSCUG00000017237.1)". The record is from RNAcentral. Lineage: Eukaryota; Metazoa; Chordata; Aves; Struthioniformes; Struthionidae.